CCUACGGGAGGCUGCAGUGAGGAAUAUUGGUCAAUGGACGCAAGUCUGAACCAGCCAUGCCGCGUGCAGGAAGACGGCUCUAUGAGUUGUAAACUGCUUUUGUACGAGGGUAAACGCAGAUACGCGUACCUGUCUGAAAGUAUCGUACGAAUAAGGAUCGGCUAACUCCGUGCCAGCAGCCGCGGUAAUACGGAGGAUUCAAGCGUUAUCCGGAUUUAUUGGGUUUAAAGGGUGCGUAGGCGGUCGGAUAAGUUAGAGGUGAAAUGCCGAGGCUCAACUUCGGAAUUGCCUGUGAUACUGUUAGGCUAGAGAGUAGUUGCGGUAGGCGGAAUGUAUGGUGUAGCGGUGAAAUGCUUAGAGAUCAUAAAGAACACCGAUUGCAAAGGCAGCUUACCAAGCUACUACUGACGUUGAGGCACGAAAGCGUGGGGAGCAAACAGGAUUAGAUACCCUAGUAGUC
RNAcentral lists this ribosomal RNA (460 nucleotides) under uncultured bacterium. RNAcentral's name for it is "partial 16S ribosomal RNA". It matches the Rfam family "Bacterial small subunit ribosomal RNA", at positions 338 to 795 of the family's 1533-position model. The record is from RNAcentral.